UACGUAGGGUGCAAGCGUUGUCCGGAUUCAUUGGGCGUAAAGAGCUCGUAGGCGGUUCGGUAAGUCAGGUGUGAAAUCUCCACGCUCAACGUGGAGGGGCCACCUGAUACUGCCGUGACUCGAGUCCGGUAGGGGAGUAUGGAAUUCCCGGUGUAGCGGUGAAAUGCGCAGAUAUCGGGAGGAACACCAGUGGCGAAGGCGGUACUCUGGGCCGGAACUGACGUUGAGGAGCGAAAGCGUGGGUAGCAAACAGG
RNAcentral lists this ribosomal RNA (254 nucleotides) under uncultured bacterium. RNAcentral describes it as "partial 16S ribosomal RNA". It matches the Rfam family "Bacterial small subunit ribosomal RNA", at positions 524 to 776 of the family's 1533-position model. The record is from RNAcentral.